RNAcentral lists this ribosomal RNA (496 nucleotides) under uncultured bacterium. RNAcentral's name for it is "partial 16S ribosomal RNA". It matches the Rfam family "Bacterial small subunit ribosomal RNA", at positions 29 to 507 of the family's 1533-position model. The record is from RNAcentral.
AUGAACGCUGGCGGCGUGCCUAAUACAUGCAAGUCGAGCGAACAGACGAGGAGCUUGCUCCCCUGACGUUAGCGGCGGACGGGUGAGUAACACGUGGAUAACCUACCUAUAAGACUGGGAUAACUUCGGGAAACCGGAGCUAAUACCGGAUAAUAUAUUGAACCGCAUGGUUCAAUAGUGAAAGACGGUUUUGCUGUCACUUAUAGAUGGAUCCGCGCCGCAUUAGCUAGUUGGUAAGGUAACGGCUUACCAAGGCGACGAUGCGUAGCCGACCUGAGAGGGUGAUCGGCCACACUGGAACUGAGACACGGUCCAGACUCCUACGGGAGGCAGCAGUAGGGAAUCUUCCGCAAAGGGCGAAAGCCUGACGGAGCAACGCCGCGUGAGUGAUGAAGGUCUUCGGAUCGUAAAACUCUGUUAUUAGGGAAGAACAAAUGUGUAAGUAACUAUGCACGUCUUGACGGUACCUAAUCAGAAAGCCACGGCUAACUACGUG